GCUAGUAAUGGCAGGUCAGCAUACUGCCGUGAAUACGUUCCCGGGCCUUGUACACACCGCCCGUCACACCAUGAGAGUUGGGAAUACCCGAAGCCUGUGAGCUAACUAUACGAGGCAGCAGUCGAAGGUAGAAUCAAUGAUUGGGGUGAAGUCGUAACAAGGUACC
This 166-nucleotide ribosomal RNA is filed under the name uncultured bacterium. RNAcentral describes it as "partial 16S ribosomal RNA". It matches the Rfam family "Bacterial small subunit ribosomal RNA", at positions 1334 to 1500 of the family's 1533-position model. The record is from RNAcentral.